CACGCCUAACACAUGCAAGUCGAACGAAGUAGCAAUACUUAGUGGCAGACGGGUGAGUAACAUGUAGGUAUCUGCCCUUUGGCCUGGAAUAACACGAGGAAACUUGUGCUAAUACCGGAUAAGUCUUUACGGAGAAAGCUUUAUGCACCAUUGGAUGAGCCUGCACUUGAUUAGUUUGUUGGUGGGGUAAUGGCCUACCAAGACUAUGAUCAAUAGCUGAUUUGAGAGGAUGAUCAGCCACAUUGGGACUGAGACACGGCCCAAACUCCUACGGGAGGCAGCAGUGGGGAAUCUUGCACAAUGGAGGAAACUCUGAUGCAGCGAUGCCGCGUGAGUGAAGAAGGCCCUUGGGUUGUAAAGCUCUUUCGUCGGGGAAGAAAAUGACUGUACCCGAAUAAGAAGGUCCGGCUAACUUCGUGCCAGCAGCCGCGGUAAUACGAAGGGACCUAGCGUAGUUCGGAAUUACUGGGCUUAAAGAGUUCGUAGGUGGUUGAAAAAGUUAGUGGUGAAAUCCCAGAGCUUAACUCUGGAACUGCCAUUAAAACUUUUCAGCUAGAGUAUGAUAGAGGAAAGCAGAAUUUCUAGUGUAGAGGUGAAAUUCGUAGAUAUUAGAAAGAAUACCAAUUGCGAAGGCAGCUUUCUGGAUCAUUACUGACACUGAGGAACGAAAGCAUGGGUAGCGAAGAGGAUUAGAUACCCUCGUAGUCCAUGCCGUAAACGAUGUGUGUUAGACGUUGGAAAUUUAUUUUCAGUGUCGCAGCGAAAGCGAUAAACACACCGCCUGGGGAGUACGACCGCAAGGUUAAAACUCAAAUGAAUUGACGGGGACCCGCACAAGUAGUGGAGCAUGUGGUUUAAUUCGAAGAUACGCGCAGAACCUUACCAACACUUGACAUGUUCGUCGCGACUCUAAGAGAUUAGAGUUUUCGGUUCGGCCGGACGAAACACAGGUGCUGCAUGGCUGUCGUCAGCUCGUGUCGUGAGAUGUUGGGUUAAGUCCCGCAACGAGCGCAACCCUCACUUUUAGUUGCCAUCAUUAAGUUGGGCACUCUGAAAGAACUGCCAGUGAUAAGCUGGGGGAAGGUGGGGAUGACGUCAAGUCCUCAUGGCCCUUACGUGUUGGGCUACACACGUGCUACAAUGGUAUCUACAACAGGAAGCAAGACUGCGAAGUUAAGCAAAUCCCUAAAAGAUACCUCAGUUCGGAUUGCACUCUGCAACUCGAGUGCAUGAAGCUGGAAUUACUAGUAAUCGUGGAUCAGCGUGCCACGGUGAAUGCGUUCCCGGGUCUUGUACACACCGCCCGUCACACCAUGGGAGUUGGUUCUACCUUAAG
Molecule: ribosomal RNA, 1336 nt
Filed under: uncultured Candidatus Pelagibacter sp.
Lineage: Bacteria; Pseudomonadati; Pseudomonadota; Alphaproteobacteria; Candidatus Pelagibacterales; Candidatus Pelagibacteraceae
Description: 16S ribosomal RNA
Rfam family: Bacterial small subunit ribosomal RNA
Source: RNAcentral